Molecule: non-coding RNA, 347 nt
Organism: Pelobates cultripes (western spadefoot toad)
Lineage: Eukaryota; Metazoa; Chordata; Amphibia; Anura; Pelobatidae
Source: the annotation of a GenBank genome assembly
CCUAAGUGCCACUGACUUGCUAAAACAAGGCAUCUACUAUACUACUGUAUUGUCACCAUGUCUCGAAACACUGAUGUCUACCCAAAGUCUCCUCCCCAUCUUUUCCUUGGCUGCUGGAAUGCAGCCCUGUACUUUUGAGCCAUAAAGACUCUUAUGCAGUGUGUGUGAGGAACCUCACUGUUAAAACUGGAAUGACUUAAGACUCAGUGGAAGUUUUUGUUUUAAGUGGAAUGUGCCAAAUUAUAUUUUGCAAUGUUCAGAAAUGCAAAAUAAAAUAUAACCAUGUAUUAAUCAGUUUGCAGGCGAAAAGUGGUAAUAAGCAAAUGUUUUUAAAUACAUGCAAUGAG